Molecule: ribosomal RNA, 497 nt
Filed under: uncultured bacterium
Lineage: Bacteria
Description: partial 16S ribosomal RNA
Rfam family: Bacterial small subunit ribosomal RNA
Source: RNAcentral
GAUGAACGCUGGCGGCGUGCCUAAUACAUGCAAAUCGAGCGAACAGACGAGGAGCUUGCUCCUCUGACGUUAGCGGCGGACGGGUGAGUAACACGUGGAUAACCUACCUAUAAGACUGGGAUAACUUCGGGAAACCGGAGCUAAUACCGGAUAAUAUAUUGAACCGCAUGGUUCAAUAGUGAAAGACGGUCUUGCUGUCACUUAUAGAUGGAUCCGCGCCGCAUUAGCUAGUUGGUAAGGUAACGGCUUACCAAGGCAACGAUGCGUAGCCGACCUGAGAGGGUGAUCGGCCACACUGGAACUGAGACACGGUCCAGACUCCUACGGGAGGCAGCAGUAGGGAAUCUUCCGCAAUGGGCGAAAGCCUGACGGAGCAACGCCGCGUGAGUGAUGAAGGUCUUCGGAUCGUAAAACUCUGUUAUUAGGGAAGAACAAAUGUGUAAGUAACUAUGCACGUCUUGACGGUACCUAAUCAGAAAGCCACGGCUAACUACGUG